This 253-nucleotide ribosomal RNA is filed under the name uncultured bacterium. RNAcentral describes it as "partial 16S ribosomal RNA". It matches the Rfam family "Bacterial small subunit ribosomal RNA", at positions 524 to 776 of the family's 1533-position model. The record is from RNAcentral.
UACGGAGGAUGCAAGCGUUAUCCGGAUUCAUUGGGUUUAAAGGGUGCUUAGGCGGGGCGGUAAGUCAGUGGUGAAAGCCUGCAGCUUAACUGUAGAAUUGCCAUUGAUACUGUCGCUCUUGAAUGCGGUUGAGGCAGGCGGAAUGUGUAAUGUAGCGGUGAAAUGCUUAGAUAUUACACAGAACACCGAUUGCGUAGGGAGCUUGCUAAACCGUGAGUGACGUUGAGGCACGAAAGCGUGGGGAGCAAACAGG